UGUGAUGUCCUUAGAGCUGAGAAUGUCAAACUUUGAGACCAUCAUGUCCAGGCCUCUACUGUGAGGAAGGGAUUACCUCAGUCCAACCGAGGGUAUAUUAUUCACAAAGGGUCCCCUGGUAGAUAAUGGACUGAGCCAGGACUAAGCCUAGUAAGGAAAAGAAGACCCAUAUCAAUAAUUUCUUUACAUUCUUUCAGUGGAGAGGAUAAUUUUGAAGCCAGGAACUCACCCAGCCCCCAUCUGCUAUGGUCCAGUGGAAACUCCAUGGAAACCAAAGAGAAAAGUUCUACCUGACCAAAGGGGUCAAAAGGAGACUUAAAAGAGAAUGAAACAUAAUUAAUAACCAUCAGCUAUAGAUUUCGUCGAGAGGAAUGUCAAGAUUUAUUGAUCAAAGAGGAAACACUGAUUCCUGCAAAGUGUCCUGUCUUCUCUGGGUCAAUGCUUUGUGAUAUACAAAGACACCAGGAGCAGUUACAAGCACGGGGAAUGGCUUAAUCAAAAGAGGCUGAGUAGCUCCUUUCCAUUCAGAAAGAAACUUCUGGAAGUCCUAGAAAGGGUGAGAUUCAGGAUUAAUAUCAAUAACAUCAAUUUCUAUAUAGUUCUCUGGGGUCUGCAAAGGGCUUCCUUUACAAUGACUGUAAAGAAAGUAGUACAAGAAUUAAGUGAUCUCCCUAGAGAGAGGAGAAAACUGAGGCUCAGAAUGGUUAUUCAGAACACAUCUAGUGACAGGAAAAACAAACAAAUGAACAGAGAAGGAAUAUUUCGCUGGUGCUUUCAGGAUUGAAAAGUAUUUUUCUCCAAUAGCACUGCCUUGUAAGGAGCAUAUGGGAUUAUGGGUGAUCAGAAAGGACUAGCACCUCUGGAGGGAGGGUUUCCUGGAGGCUUUUCAAGGUCAUUCAUUCAGCUUUGGUGUCCACCUGCCACCUACUCUCACACGUAUGGCUCCAAGAAGCUAUAGCAUGCAUAGCGGUCACACCCAAUUAAACUAUCUUGGCAGAUGGGAUAAACCAGGCUGAGGAUAAGUGAAGGGCCACAAACUGGUCAGUGAGUUAGGGAGUGUCUACCCCACACAUGCAAAGACUUCCCACCAAGUAGAAUGGGCUAAUGAGCACAAUUUUUUUCCUAAGGUCAGGAAGGUUGCCAAAGCAGGUGCUAGAGCUCUGUCAAACACUGAAGACAACGAGGUCAUCCUGAGCCAUCACCAGUCAUCCUGACUUUUGUCUUGCCACUGGACUUGAGUGACUAGAAGAAAAAGUGAGGCUGCUGACUGUGUGUAACUCUGCCUUGCUCAAAUCCAAUGUAUGUACAAGUCAGGACAUCACCCCGUGAUGUCAUUGAUCCUCUUACAAAAACAAAGGACAAACAACAAAUGUACUCUGGGAGUGCUUGACUGAAAGGUAGUCAGCUCCAUGAAAGGGAAAAAAAGGGGUUGUGAGUAUCCAUUACUUGUAAUUACUCCCUGUGAUAUAAAGGAGUAUUUUUACAUUCUCUUAAAGAUCCUGAUCAUUUCUGUAGUUAAUGGUGUGAUAUCAGAUCUGGGUGCAACACAUUAAAGGAAAGCCAUCAAUAAAUUGGAAAAUAUCUAAAUCAGGCAGUCAGGAUUGUGAAGGGACUCAAGUAUAUUAAGUGUGUCCAUUGUAUAGAGGAGAUAACUGAGGUUCAGAAUGGUUAUUCAGAACACAUCUAGUGGCAGCAACAACAAACACAAACAAAUGCUUCAGUUAGAAUCUGUUAAAGGAAGUGGAGAUGUUGAAUCUGGAGUAGAAAAGAAUGAAGAGGAGCAAGACGAUGGGCUUCAAGUAUUCAGAAGAUAAUGUGGAAGAGGUGUGUGAUGUGUUCUUUUUGGUUUCAAACUAUCACUUUUUCUGGAGCCACAAGAUAUGGACUGAAAUCCAACUUUGGACACUUCUUAACUGUGUAACCCUGAGACCCAGGCAGGUUGAAAAAGAAACACUGAAUAAGGGAGCUUAAACUUGAACCACAGAGAUAGAGAGUCACCUUUUAAGAACAGAAGGGGACCUCAUCUGACUUAAAUCUAUUCGUAGAAAUCUGUGAAUGUAUUUGGAGCAGCUAUUGGCUCAAUGGAUAGAGCACCAGCCCUAGAUGCCAGUGACAGGACAAAAGUCAGGAUGAUUUGUGAUAGCUUGGGUUGCAGUGAAAUAUGUUGGCUUCUUCAAUGUCUAACCAAGCUUCAAACGGUCCACAGACAUUGUUUCCACCUCCUUCAUGAUCUUUGGAACAGAUUGUUCUCAGCCACCCAUUCAACCAGGGGAAGUCUUCACAUGCUUGGGGUUGGCAUCCUCCUAAAUCAUUGAUGGAUUACAUGUUGGUUACCUUCAACCUGGUUUGGCCAAGAUGGUUUACUGCUGUAUGGCCGCUGUGCAUGUUACUACUUCUUGGAGUCACAGAUAAGAGUUGGGUGAAAGGUAGACACCAAAGGAGGAAAGUCGCCUUGAAAAGGGCUUAGCAAACCCCAAUACCAGAGAUACUAGCCUUCCUUGAAUACCCAGUACACCCUCAUAUGACAGCAGAGUAAAGUCAAGUCAAGAAAUGUUUGUUAAACAACAACUGAGGGCCUGUCUCUGUGCUUUGGAAUACAAGUAGGAUCAGAAAGUGAGUCCCUGGUCUCAAGGAGCUCAUAUUCUAAUGAAGGAAGACAUCAAAUACUAGGGAAUGAAAGUGGGGAAGGGGAAGACCAGUCAGUUAGGCAACCUGGGCCGAUGGACACAUUUUUGGCCUGGACACAUUUUUGGCCUGUGAUUUCUUCUUAAAAUAGUGAUUCUGAGGGAAUCCAUUUGAAGAUGAGACCUCAAAGGCAAAGGGUACUUUCAGUGUGAGACAUAGUCCAGUGGUGCAGUGAGCUUCCAGGGGAAAAAAGAUUCUAUGGACAGAGGCAAAAAUUUAGGAGCAAACUAAACUUCAGAGACAAUGAAUGACUUUCUUAGGUUCAUACAACUAGCAAGUACCAAAGGCUAAUUUACUUUUUUGUUUUAAUAAAUACUUGCCACCCAUCUGAGAAUCAA
Molecule: long non-coding RNA, 3023 nt
Organism: Monodelphis domestica (gray short-tailed opossum)
Lineage: Eukaryota; Metazoa; Chordata; Mammalia; Didelphimorphia; Didelphidae
Source: RefSeq, a predicted model, not a curated record